AGCGAACGCUGGCGGCAGGCCUAACACAUGCAAGUCGAACGGAUCCUUCGGGAUUAGUGGCGGACGGGUGAGUAACACGUGGGAACGUGCCCUUUGGUUCGGAACAACUCAGGGAAACUUGAGCUAAUACCGGAUGUGCCCUUCGGGGGAAAGAUUUAUCGCCAUUGGAGCGGCCCGCGUCUGAUUAGCUAGUUGGUGAGGUAACGGCCCACCAAGGCGACAAUCAGUAGCUGGUCUGAGAGGAUGAUCAGCCACACUGGGACUGAGACACGGCCCAGACUCCUACGGGAGGCAGCAGUGGGGAAUCUUGCGCAAUGGGCGAAAGCCUGACGCAGCCAUGCCGCGUGAAUGAUGAAGGUCUUAGGAUUGUAAAAUUCUUUCAGCGGGGACGAUAAUGACGGUACCCGCAGAAGAAGCGCCGGCUAACUUCGUG
Molecule: ribosomal RNA, 433 nt
Filed under: uncultured bacterium
Lineage: Bacteria
Description: partial 16S ribosomal RNA
Rfam family: Bacterial small subunit ribosomal RNA
Source: RNAcentral